Molecule: long non-coding RNA, 793 nt
Organism: Alligator mississippiensis (American alligator)
Lineage: Eukaryota; Metazoa; Chordata; Crocodylia; Alligatoridae
Exons: 2
Source: RefSeq, a predicted model, not a curated record
GCAAUAUCAGCUGGCUGGCUGCUGCUCCAUAAUUGGAGGUCCAGGCUAGGAACUAUGGAGAUGGAGGAGGUUUCUGGUCCUGGGGAGUGACUUAAAACUACACCCUGCUGGGACUGGAUGGUGUGGUGGGGUUGCUUGUGGCAGGGCAGCUUCCAGGAAGUGCCAUACCUGUGUCUCCCCAGUGAAAGGAACACCCUGUGAAAGACCAGGAACUUGCUGAUGUACCGAUUCACAAAGCUCUCAGUCAAGGACUCUGUUAAAAUGGGACUGAGAGAACUACAGAUACCCUACCAGAAGGUGAUAGGGGAGGAGGGAGAAAAGGUGGCAAAGAUCAUCUGGCAGAAGAACCACUGGCACAGACUAUUCAAGGAUACCUUCCUCCCCUUCUUCCCAGGGAACAGAGCAGUGGCAAUCUGGAAGAAGUUGGGGACUGUAAAGAAGAAGAAAAAAAAAAGGAGGAGGGGGGGGGCACGGAAAAAAAGUUGUUUGGGUUUUUUUUUGAGUGGUGAGGACAGUGGGGGAGAGAGAGAGAGAGAGAGAUGGUGAGAACAAGGAGAACAGUGGCAGCAAUGAUGAGGACAGUGACAUGGACUAAAGCCUAAAUAAAGGAGUGGAGGGCAGAGGUGAGCCACCGUAACUGGAACAGUGAAGGGAAUGCGAACGGGUGCAUGGGUAUGAGAACUGUUUUAGCUAUGUGAGACUGUACAUGCUUGAAGACUAGUAAGAUAAAUAGAUGUACUCUACAAUCUAUCUAGAUUUUGUCCUUUUUUUUUUUUUUUUUUUUUUUUUUUUU